RNAcentral lists this ribosomal RNA (497 nucleotides) under uncultured bacterium. Its description in RNAcentral is "partial 16S ribosomal RNA". It matches the Rfam family "Bacterial small subunit ribosomal RNA", at positions 28 to 507 of the family's 1533-position model. The record is from RNAcentral.
GAUGAACGCUGGCGGCGUGCCUAAUACAUGCAAGUCGAGCGAACAGACGAGGAGCUUGCUCCUCUGACGUUAGCGGCGGACGGGUGAGUAACACGUGGAUAACCUACCUAUAAGACUGGGAUAACUUCGGGAAACCGGAGCUAAUACCGGAUAAUAUAUUGAACCGCAUGGUUCAAUAGUGAAAGACGGUUUUGCUGUCACUUAUAGAUGGAUCCGCGCCGCAUUAGCUAGUUGGUAAGGUAACGGCUUACCAAGGCGACGAUGCGUAGCCGACCUGAGAGGGUGAUCGGCCACACUGGAACUGAGACACGGUCCAGACUCCUACGGGAGGCAGCAGUAGGGAAUCUUCCGCAAUGGGCGAAAGCCUGACGGAGCAACGCCGCGUGAGUGAUGAAGGUCUUCGGAUCGUAAAACUCUGUUAUUGGGGAAGAACAAAUGUGUAAGUAACUAUGCACGUCUUGACGGUACCUAAUCAGAAAGCCACGACUAACUACGUG